AAAGUUUAAGAAGUUUAACAUAAAAAUUUAUAAAAUCAUAAAAAGACAGAAAGAGAAAUUCUCAUUCAAAUGUCUUUCAGAAAGGUCAGGCAGGCAAUCUAUUAAUAAAAGCUAACUAACAUUUACUAAAUACUUACAAUGUGCCAGACACUGUUAUUAAGUGCUUUUACACAUAUGAAUUCACUAUAUGAUUCACAUUUACCUCAGAGUUACAGAACUAUUGUUAUGCCCAUUUUACAGAUGGGAAAACUGAAGCACAGAGAUGCCAGGUAACUUGCCCAAGAUUGCAGAAUGUGCAAAUGACAGUGCUCUAGCUCCAGAGUCCACGCUCUGAAAUAUUGGACUAUGCUGCCUUUCAAAUUAUAAUUAUCCACUUUGUAUGUUACAGUGAAGUUAAAAUGUCUCUCAAACACGUCCAUGAAGGCAAGCCUUCACCACAGAACUGUUUAUUUUAUUUCCUCUUUUGGGUCCCUCUCUCGUUUGGAUUUGACUUGGUAAAUAUUGAGCGGCUAACAUGUAUACUAUACACUUCAAAAACAAGUGCUAAAUGUAAAUAUGGGUGGAUAUUACAUAAUUGUGAAAAGUACAGUAUGAAGAAGAAGAAAAGAACCUGACUCUAUCACUCACUUUCCAUGUUAUAUUGGGCAAGCCCUUUAAUCCCUUUGUUUUACCAUCUUCAAAAUAUAGGCAUUUAUAUAAUAUAGGUACUGUUAGGAUCAAUUAAGAUCAUAUAGGCCAGAUGUGGUGGCUCAUGCCUGUAAUCUCAGCACUUUGGGAGGCCAAAGUGGGAGGAUCACUUGAGCCCAAGAUAUCAAGACCAGCCUGGCCAACAUAAUGAAACCAAGUCUCUACAAAAAAAAAAAAAUUUUUUUAAAUUAGCCAGGUGUGGUGGUGCAUACCUGUGGUCUCAGCGACUUGGGAGGCUGAGGUGGGAGAUAGCGAGGCUGCAGUGAGCUAUGACUGCACCAUGACACUCCAGCCUGGGUGACAGGGAAAGACCCUGUCUCAAAAAAAAGGAUCAUAUGUGGGAUUUAUUAUGUUAAUGUAAAAUGAUAUUUUCAUGAGAAAAAAAGUGCCAAAGCCUAACAUAGGAAAGGCAAGAAUUUCAAUGCCAAAUUCUAUUAAUCAUUAGCCAAAUUAAAAAGGAAAAUAGUCUUGACAAACAUACAGAACAUUCAUUUUAACUUUGCCCUUGUGCAGUCAUACAAAAUUAUAUAUAACACAUGGACAAAAUCUUUAAAAGAAUGAUCAUGAAGAAGACCCCAGAAAAACUGCUGGGUUUUAUAUCUCCUCCAGCAUUCUGUCCAAUUUUAAUAAAAAUUGGCCUCAGAAUUAUCUUAGAUUUUCUUGGCUGGAUGCAGUGGCUCACGUCUGUAAUCUCAGCACUUUGGGAGGGCAAGGCGGGCGGAUCACUUGAGGUCAGGAAACCAGCCUGGCCAACAUGGUGAAACCCUGUCUCUGCUAAAAAUACAAAAAUUAGUCGAGUGUGGUGGCAGGUGCAUGUAGUCCCAGCUACUCAGGAGGCUGAGGCAGGAGAAUCGCUUGAACCUAGGAGGUGGAAGUUGCAGUGAGCCAGGAUCGCGCCACUGCACUCCAGCCUGGGUGACAGAGCGAGACUCCAGCACAGUGGCUCACUCCUGUAAUCCUACCACUUUGGGAGGCCGAGGAGGGCAGAUUGUGUGAGCUCAGGAGUUCGAGACCAGCCUGGGCAACAUGGUGAAACCCUGUCUCUUCUAAAACACAAAAAAUUAGCCAGGCGUGGCGGCAUGUGCCUGUGGUCCCAGCGACUUGGGAGGCUGAGGCAGGAGAAUUGCUUGAACCUGGGAGGCGGAGGUUGCAGAGAGCUGAGAUCAUGCCACUGCACUCCAGCCUGGAAACAGAGGGAGACUCCGUCUCAAAAAAAAAAAAAAGAAAAAAAUUAUCUUAGAUUUUCUUUUGGUUUCAUUUUAGAAUUAUUUAUGGAUAUCUCAUAAUCUUGUAAAAAGACUCUAGAACAUAGCAAAGCAAAACUGUACCCAUUAAAAUGGGUACUACUACUACAGCAAAGUCAUUUAAACACAAUUAGAAUAUCUAGGACAUAAUUUUAGAGCUCUUAGAACAUUACAGCUAUAACACUAAAUCUAAAGUACAGAGAAGUAACAUCUUAAUUGUGCUUAAAUACUACCAAUUAAUUAAUUGGUAUUAACUACCAAUUAAACAACCUACCUGUGAAGCAAGGUACAACUCACCUGGAAGGAAAGUGAAAGUAAAAGCAGUACCAUUUCAUUAUUGGCUGAUGUGUUUUUAAGUUUCAAUAUCAGUCAAUAAUGCCUCAAGAAUUAGCAUUCAUAAAAGAAACCUCUGACUUUUUUUUUAACAAUGGGCAGACGAAAAAGUCUGCAUUCUACUUAAAUUUUUUUUCCUGAACUUUGUCAACUCACUGCUGUUAGACUAAGCCUGCAAUCAUGAGGGUACUAAGUCAGGGGUGCUGAAGAGAAACUUGUUACCACUUCCACCAAUUAGGGAGAAAAAAAGGAAUAAAGAUAUUUUGAGAUUACUCAAACAAGAAUUCUAGCCUACUACCUGAAUUCAUGAUUUCACUAUACUGAAAGAAACAAAUUCUGUAACAUAAUUGAGUUAUAGCCAUGAAAAUGAAAUCAUUUCUUCAUCCAAUUAAAUGCCCAAAAUAUACUAAUAGGACCUCUAUAAUAUUUCAAAGUACAAAGCAUUUCAAAGCAUAUAAAGAGCACUUAACAUUAUAAAAGGCAAAACUCACUGAGAAAGUAAGGCUAUUAAUUCCAAAUAGGCAAAUACUACUGGAUGACAUUUUUAAAUUUAUAAUAAUUAUAACUCACCAGGUCAAUCACUUAACCAAAAUGUAUAACAAAAAAUAAUAUUCGGCUGGGCAUGGUGGAUCACACCUGUAAUCCUAGCACUUUGGGAGGCCGAGGCGGGAAGAUCAUGAGGUCAAGAGAUCGAGACCAUCCUGGCCAACAUGGUGAAACCCUGUCUCUACUAAAAAAAAAAAAAAAAAUAGAGAAUUAAAAUUAGCCAGGCGUGGUGGUGCAUGCCUGUAAUCCCAGUUACUCGGGAGGCUGAGGCAAGGGAAUCGGUUGAACCCAGGAGGUGGAGGUUGUGAUAAGCUGAGACCAUGCCACUGCACUCCAGCCUGGGGGACAGAGCGAGACUCCAUCUAAAAAAAAAAAAAAGAUAUUGGCCAAGCACAGAGGCUCAUGCCUGUAAUCCCAGCACUGUGGGAGGCUCAGGCAGGCAGGUGGCUUGAGCUCAGGAGUUUGGGACCAUCCUGGGCAACAUGGAGAAAUCCUGUCUCCACCAAAAAUACAAAAAAUUAGACAAGUGUGGUGGCACGUGCCUAUGGUCCCAGCUACUCAGGAGGUUGAUGGAGGACUGCUUGAGCUGGGAGGUGGAGGCUGCAGUGAGCACUUCAGCCUGCCACUGCACUCCAGCCUGGGUGACAGAGUGAGACCUUGUCUCAAAAAAACAAAAUAAAAUAAUAAAAGAUAUUGAAUAAAAUGCUUAAAGAAAUUUAACUAGGUAGGAAUCUUAAAUAUCAGCUAGCUUAGUUUUCUUGCUUUAUCACACCUCAGGGAAACCUUACUGGAAGAACUAUUGCCCAUUAUUUAGUCCUAUGAUGUAGAAAAACCUCAAAACACCUACUAGAUGAGAGGUGCAGUGGCUCACACUUGUAAACCCAGAAGUUUGGGAGGCCAUGGCAGGAGGAUUGCUUGAACCCAGGAGUUCGAGGCCAGCCUGGACAACAGUGUGAGACCAUAUCUCUAUGUUUACAAAAAUUCUUUUAAAGUUUGGGAUGGGGGGUGGGCACAGUGGCUGACGCCUAUAAUCCCAGCACUUUGGGAGACCAAGGCAGGCAGAUCAUCUGAGGUCAGGAGUUCGAGACGAGCCUGGGCAACAUGGCGAAACCCCGUCUCUACUAAAAAUACAAAAAUUAGCUGGGUGUGGUGGCAUGUGCCUAUAGUCCCAGCUACUCAGGAGGCUGAGGUAGGAGAAUUGCUUGAACCCAGGAGGCGGAGGUUGCAGCGAGCCAAGAUCACGCCACUGUACUCCAGCCUGGGCAACACAGGGAAACCCCGUCUCGAAAAAUUAAUUAAUUUAUUUAUUAAUUAAAGGUGGGGUGGCACCGAGCACAGUGGCUCACACCUAUAAUCCCAACACUUUGGGAGGCCAAGGCAGGAGGAUCGCUUGACCCCAGAAGUUUGAGAUCAGCCUGAGCAACAUAGGGAGCUCCCUCUCUAUAAAAAAAUUUAAAAAAUAACCAGGCAUGGUAGCACGUGCCUGUAGUCUCAGCUACUUGACAGCCUGAGGUGGGAAGAUCCCUUAAGCCCCAGGAGGUCAAGGCUACACUGAGCCAUGAUCACACGACUGCACUCUAGCCCAGGUAAGAGGGAGACCCUGUUACAAAAAAAAAAAAAAAAAAAAAAAAAACACAGCUACUGGAUAAUGACUGGGAGGGACAAAAUGAUCAUUUUAGCAGAACACCAUAAUGUACCCUUGCAGAAGGUAGGAAACUAUCAUUAGGCCAAUAGGGAUUGUGCACUAAUCCAUUCCUCAUGUCUUUUGCUCAGUCACGUAUCUGCAUCUUCUCUAUAGUGGCUGCUCAAGUUGAAGCUAUCCUAAGGCAUGAGUGAUUUAUUAAGCCAUAUGCCAAUUAUUUUCUACAUGGUGAUUAAGAUUCUCACAUCCUCAAAUCAUUACAUCUAAAUGAGCAAAGUCUCCCAUCAUAAAAAGGCUAUGAUGGCCAGGCACGGUGGCUGACGCCUGUAAUCCCAGCACUCUGGGAGGCCGAGGUGUGCAGAUCACCUGAGGUCAGGAGUUUGAGACCGGCAUGGCCAACAUGGUGAAACCCCAUCUCUACUAAAAAUACAAAAAUUAGCUGGGUGUAGCAGCGCAGGCCUGUAAUCCUAGCUACUUGGGAAGCUGAGGUAGGAGAAUUGCUUUAACCCGGGAGGCAAAGGUUGCAGUGAGCCAAGACCAUGACACUGCAUUCCAGCCUGGGAGACAGUAAGACUCCAUCUCUAAAUAAAUAAAUAAAUAAAUAAAUAAAUAAAUAGGCUGUGACAAUACUAAGGUCAGUUUACACUAUGUAAGUAAACUUCUCAAAUAACUGUGGAUUAAUAGUUCUGUAACAAAUGGAUAAAAGUUUCUAAGGAAAAGCCACAAAGCUGUAUUCUUAACCACAUCCUUUUCAAAUUUUUAUCAAUGACUUGAAUAAUAAAAUAGAAGAGCUGCUUAUCAAAGCUGAAUGUGACCAGAAGAUAAGCACUAUUCAGUUUUUGUUUCGAGACAGGGUCUCUCUCUGUCGCCCAGGCUAGAGUGCAGUGGUGCGAUCAUGGCUUACUGCAGUCUCGACUUUCCAGGCUCAACUGAUCCUCCCACCUCAGCCCCCAAGUAGCUGAGACUACAAGCGCAUGCCACCACACCCAGCUAAUUUUUAUAUUUUUUGUAGCAAUGGGGUUUCAGCAUGUUGCCCAGGCUAGUCUCAAACUCCUGGGCUCAAGCGAUCCUUCUGCCUCAGCCUCCCAAAGUGCUGACAUUACAGGCGUGAGCCACCGCACCCUGCCAGUACUAUUAAUAAUACACAUGUAAUCAAUAUCCAAAGCUUUCAUAAAGCUAAAAUAAUAUACAAAAAGCAUCUAAAUAAAGUUUAACAGAGAUAUGCAAGUACACAUUUAGGCUUUAAAAAUUGUAUUUCACUAGUUUAAGGUGAAGAAGAAGUGGCUUGUCAGCAGUUCAUAUGAGAAAUAAAGCUUCAGUGCAAAUAAGUUUAACAAAAACCAAAAGAACAACAAGGUAGCUAUAAAAACUAAGGCAAUUUUAGGUCACAGAUAGAAAAGAAUGCAUCCAAAACAAGUAUCCUAAGAGUAGUGAAGUGUCUGGAAAUCAUGGAGCAAACUGAAAGAACUGGAGGUAUUUAACAUGGAGACGAGAAAAGGGAAACAUCACGGCAGUCUGAAUAUCUGAGAUACUGUCAUGGGAAUAAAAGUGGACACAUAUGUCCUCUACUGGUAUUCCUCAAACCAUCUGUGGUAAAGGGCCACCUUUCCUUCCCCAACCACUGGACACUUCUGUAAAAAUAUAGUAAGAAUACCAUGACCACUGAAAAUUCCUAUAAACUUUUUUUUUUUUUUUUUUUUUAGGACGAAGUCUCGCUCUUGUCCUCCAGGCUGGAGUGCAAUGGCACAAUCUCGGCUCACUGCAACCUCCACCUCCCAGGGUCAAGUGAUUCUCCUGCCUCAGUCCCCCACAAGUAGCUGGGAUUACCGGGGCCUGCCACCAUGCCCGGCUAAUUUUUGCAUUUUUAGUAGAGACGGGGUUUCACCAUGUUGGCCAGGCUGGUCUCAAACUCCUGACCUCAGAUGAUCCACCCACCUUGGCCUCCCAAAGUGCUGGGAUUACAGGUGUGAGCCACCAUUUCCAGCCUGAAAAUUCCUAUAAUAAUUUCUAAAUGCUCACUCUCACUUUCUGUGUUUCAUUAAAUUGUGAACAGGUUACAAGUUCAUAGAUUUCCUACUUCAAGUACCUGUAUUCCAUCCAUACCAGAAAAAAGAACCAAAUCAAAGGGAAUCAUUUUGUGGGAAGUUAAAUUUCCACCUGAUGUAACAAAGAAUUCCUAGCCCAUAGUGUUUCCAACAGUGCAAUGGCACCGAGAGAACUGAGCUCCUUUGGGAAGUAUUCAGAGGAAAAAUAAUUUUAUCUGUUAGAUAAUCUAAAAAAUGUAUUCCUACUUUGGAAAGGUGAAUGGAUUGGAUUAAAACAUCGUAGAAUCUCUCCACUCUCCAAGAUUCUGAGUCCAAUCAAAAGCAAAUACACACACAUACACCCUCAAAGUAGCCAAGAACUAAUCAAUCAUUAGCAUACUAUUAGCAUACUCACAAAUCAGUUAUGAUGUAUUAGGUAGGAUGUACGAGCAAAGGACUAUGAAAUUGACAAAGCAUAUGGAAAUCAUAAUUAAGCCCUAAGUAAGUGAGAAGUAUGAAUAAAGCACCACCAUAAUCCUUUUUAGUCCAUUACUGAUGGUACAAGUACACUCUCAGGUUGCCUCUUCAAAGUUUAAACCAGUCCUCGCAAAUCAAAACACAAAACAAGGAUAAGCCUUUUCCUUUUUCCUAAAAGAACUAUUGAUAACACCUUUGCCGUCUUAAAUUCUCACCUCUGAGUGACCUUCAGCCACAAAGAUUUAACCACAGUCUCUACCUUGACCCUGCCCUAACUGUACUACUGGCAUACACUACUCCUGUUCAAUCUUCUGGUCAAUCAUCUUCUAGUGGUAACUACUUAAACCACUCCUCCCCUACCACAGACUUAUGAAACUAGAAAAGGAUCUCCUCCUAUACAAAUUUCUGAUCAACAGUAAUUUCAGAUUCUCAACCAUGCAAUAUAAAUAGUUGUAGAAAUAUUAAAAUAGUUUAAUACUCAGCCACGUGCUAUGGCUAUUACCUCUUUGCUACACUCCCUCAGCCCCCCUCCAAAUCCAUCCUCCAUAGAAAUUGACCUAAUGCCUAGCAACUCCAUCAACUUCUAGCUUCUUGUUGCUCCUCAGGUACAAAUACUACACAGUAGUCUACCAUACCUUUUAACAACCAAAAUUGGCCCCAAAGUCAGGUCUUUUCACCAAUUACCACAGGCACAGUACAUUCCUCCUUUAGAAUUUUAAAUGAAUGCCCCCAGGAAGAAGACUCCUACAAAUGAGUUUUGUAGUUGCAUUUAAGAAAUUUUUUCACAGCUAAUUUUGUGCAUUAUUUCCCAAAACUCUAAUCUGAAAUACCACUGGUAAUUAAUGACUCAUUUUCUUAAGAAGAGCAACAGUGACAUAAAGAACUUAAAAUACAAAACAAUGAAAGCAAACCUGUUAUAGAGAGAACGUUAAAGCACACAGAAAAAUAUUAGCAGGUAAGUUUAAGUGACAGAAAAGGAAAUUUUACCCCUUGAUUAUUAAGGAGUAUUUAAAAUCACAGGAAGAAUACACAUCCACAAAGCAAAAAUCACCAUCUACUUGGCAGAUUUUUUUAAAAUCAGAAACAAAAUCUAUCGUAGACUCACAUUAAAACAUGAGUACUCAGACUGUUCUACUUUGAAAUUUUCCUGGAAUGUUAAGAAAUCACCUGUAAGGAGCCCUUUUCCAUAAGUUCUUUCAGUGGCAUGAAGACUUUAAACAUUUUUAAGUAUGAGCUCCAAAAUAAAUUCUCAACUCUGAGAAACAUUUGAAAAUCACCUGUUUUGUCUCUCAGUAUUCUGGAGCUCCCUGU
Molecule: long non-coding RNA, 8264 nt
Filed under: Homo sapiens (human)
Lineage: Eukaryota; Metazoa; Chordata; Mammalia; Primates; Hominidae
Description: HSALNT0159034
Source: RNAcentral